AAAAAAAACCCCAUCCAAUCAAAACUCAAAAAAUGUUACCAUUUUCUUUCACAACCAUCUGUUCUACCUUCUCCGAUCCUCAUCUAAACAACCAUGGCCACCCUCACAAGCUCCACAAUAAUUCCCUUCCACCCCCAAAUCUCCAUUAACAAAACCCAUCCUCCUCGCCAAUGGCGCUCAUCAUCACUCCCCAAAACCCAAGCCAAAUUGCCCGAACAACAUCAUCAAAAUCGAAGAAAUCUGGUCACUGCUCUUGUAGCCACUUCCCUGACACUGGGCCUGAAUUUGACCCCACUGGCAUUUGCCCAGAACUGGGGAACCCGGUCGUUUCUGAGGGAGAGAUUCUUCGAGCCGGGGUUGUCGCCGGAAGACGCGGUGGCCAGGAUUCGCCAAACCGCGGAGGGACUUCACGGCAUUGAAAACAUGCUGGAGAAGAUGUCGUGGAAAUAUGUUUUGUUCUAUUUGCGACAGAAAGCCGCUUAUCUUUCCCAGGAUAUGAAGACUGCAAUGUCCAUGGUGCCUCAGGGCAGACAAGCCUCCUAUGUUAACACGGCCAAUCAACUUGUCGAUAACAUUUCCGAGUUUGAUUAUUACGUUAGAACCCCAAAGGUGUUUGAGUCCAUGGUGUACUACAAGAAGACCCUGAAAUCAAUUGAUGAGCUCGUGGCACUUCUAGCAUAAUAUAAUUUUUUCAUUGUAAAAAUAGAGAUACUCAUGGUAUAUGUAUCAGUAGUGGCUGAUGAUUUAAUUUCUCUCGUCACUCAAGGAAAAAAAAAGUGAUAUAGAUAAUGAAACGUGACAAUUCAUUCCCAGAAUACACACAAUUCAAGUAGCAUAUAUAAGAUGGAAGCACACAAUGCAAUGCAAUAUAUUGAUUGGCAUUUUUGGAUGGGAGUAGUAAUAAUUAAUGGCUCCUGGCUAGAGCUAUGGCUGAUAAAAGCACAAGAAGAAGGAGAGCUACGACGGCGCCGAAGGAUCCAAUUAAGGAGCCGGAAGAGCUCUGGCAGAAAUCUGGAUAUUGUUGGCAUAUUGAGAACCAGUUUGUGGAUGAAUUCCCAUAAUGUGCCAAGUAAACCACCGCAGCCGCCGCGGAUGCCGCGCCGGUCAGAGCCCCCAACAUCACCUUCAAUAUAAUAUGCAAAUAUAUAUUUAGAUAGAUUAUGAUGGAGUAAUUAAGAGUGAGAUUACACAUUUAUUAUAGAUAUUAUAUAUGUUGGUUAAUAUA
RNA transcript from Ipomoea triloba (trilobed morning glory), 1225 nucleotides. It is a transcript of the gene named photosynthetic NDH subunit of lumenal location 2, chloroplastic, with no coding region annotated. The record is from RefSeq and is a predicted model, not a curated record. The transcript has 3 exons. Lineage: Eukaryota; Viridiplantae; Streptophyta; Magnoliopsida; Solanales; Convolvulaceae.